Molecule: transfer RNA, 88 nt
Filed under: Bacteroidota bacterium
Lineage: Bacteria; Pseudomonadati; Bacteroidota
Description: Bacteroidetes bacterium tRNA-Ser
Rfam family: tRNA
About the family: Transfer RNA (tRNA) molecules are approximately 80 nucleotides in length. Their secondary structure includes four short double-helical elements and three loops (D, anti-codon, and T loops). Further hydrogen bonds mediate the characteristic L-shaped molecular structure. tRNAs have two regions of fundamental functional importance: the anti-codon, which is responsible for specific mRNA codon recognition, and the 3' end, to which the tRNAs corresponding amino acid is attached (by aminoacyl-tRNA synthetases). tRNAs cope with the degeneracy of the genetic code in two manners: having more than one tRNA (with a specific anti-codon) for a particular amino acid; and 'wobble' base-pairing, i.e. permitting non-standard base-pairing at the 3rd anti-codon position.
Source: RNAcentral
GGAGAGGUGGCCGAGUGGUCGAAGGCGCACGCCUGGAAAGUGUGUUCAUGCCAAAAGCGUGACGGGGGUUCGAAUCCCUUCCUCUCCG